This 433-nucleotide ribosomal RNA is filed under the name uncultured bacterium. RNAcentral's name for it is "bacterial SSU rRNA". It matches the Rfam family "Bacterial small subunit ribosomal RNA", at positions 30 to 512 of the family's 1533-position model. The record is from RNAcentral.
AUGAACGCUAGAAAUAUGCUUAACACAUGCAAGUUAAAUAAAAUGAGUAUUAAAAUUAUUUUAUAGCGAACGGGUGCGUAAUAUAUGAGAAUCUACCUAAAAAUUUGGCAUAAUAGAAAUUCCAAAUAAUACAUAAAGAUUAAUAUUCGUUUUUAGAUGAGCUCAUAUAAGAUUAGGUAGUUGGUGUAGGUAAUGGCUUACCAAGCCAAUGAUCUUUAGCUGGUCUGAAAGGACGACCAAGCCACAUUGGAACUGAGAUAAGGUCUAAACUCUUUAAUGUGAGGCUGCAGUGAGGAAUCUUGGACAAUGAGCGAAAGCUUGAUCCAGCAAUAUUUCAUGAGUGAGUAGACAGUUGUGAGGCUGUAAAACUCUUUUGGUAAUAAAUUAAUAAUGAUAUGAUUUACAGUAAUAAGUCCCGGCAAACGAGCACAGU